ACGGAAACCUGUGACCUCAGUUCAUCUGUAGCUGGUCACAUGAUCAUCUGAUUUGCAUAAAGAAUGUCAACUUUGUGAAAUGACCAAUGAUAAAGAGGCAUGGACGUGAAGCAACAAUCUUGUAUGAAGUUAACUUUGGAUGUUCAAGCAUGGCUGGGUACAGUGACAAUCAGGGCAGACAAUGUGUGCCUAAACAGCAGCAGCAGCAGCAGCCUUAUCCCAAUGGAGAGAAGCAAGAGAGGACUUUCAGCCACAUUCAACAGCAAUGACAGGCACUUCAACUCAAGAAUCUACCUGAAGACGACACAGGGGAAUCCAUGUCUAAAUCACCACCAGUGCUCAUGGGUUUUUGGGAGGAUUUUUUAGCCCCCAGGACUCAGUUUGGAUGGAAAGUACUAGGGCAAAAAUUAUCUACCUCACUGUCAACAGAGACACUUCCUCAAGGUUGCUACCACAAUGCAUCAUACUUCCUCUAUAUUUACAUAAAUUAAUAUUCAUGAGGCUAAACCAUUUUUUGAUAGGGGUGCAUUUUGUAAGGGUUGCUCAAUUCUCAGCAAAUGAGAUGAUUCAUUCUGCAGGUUUGACCAGGGAAUGUAUUCACACACAUAAACAGGAAUAGAUGUUGCAUACAGACAAUCAAAGGCCUAAAUAUAUCUGAUGAUAACAAUAACAAACAUCCCUAAAACCCUCCCCAUAAAAUGGUUUGUUCCAUACUGGAGCUAUAAAUAGCAGUGACAACACAGCCAUGUGAUUACCAUAUCAGACAGGCUGAGGAGAAACAGUAAUGACAUGUAGUUUCAUAGCAGUGGCUGGCUAGCUUGCAGGCCAUUUAGACAUGGGCAAUGUACAUAUUGAUUGCAGCCCUAUCUACAGUGCAACUGAUGCACAGCUUGACACGUUUUUAUAACAUGCAUAAUGUACUCAGAUUACUGAGAACGGUGCAGGAAUCUAUACUGAAAUGUCAACUAAUGCAAUAACCCAGAUGUUCUUAUCCAUUAAGUUGUCUGUUUUCUUAUCGACUCCUAAACUGAGAAUGCCAAUCAAACAGUCAACAGUGUUGUCUGCUGCAAAGUGCUGUGUAAAAACAACAUGUAUUGUGGCUCUAUUUCUUGUAAGAAAUAAUAAAUUUGUAAAUGCCCUAA
This is a long non-coding RNA of Haliotis rubra (blacklip abalone), 1142 nucleotides long. RefSeq lists it as uncharacterized. The record is from RefSeq and is a predicted model, not a curated record. Lineage: Eukaryota; Metazoa; Mollusca; Gastropoda; Lepetellida; Haliotidae. The transcript has 2 exons.